This 519-nucleotide ribosomal RNA is filed under the name uncultured Actinomycetes bacterium. Its description in RNAcentral is "bacterial SSU rRNA". It matches the Rfam family "Bacterial small subunit ribosomal RNA", at positions 366 to 896 of the family's 1533-position model. The record is from RNAcentral. Lineage: Bacteria; Bacillati; Actinomycetota; Actinomycetes.
GCACAAUGGGCGCAAGCCUGAUGCAGCGACGCCGCGUGGGGGAUGACGGCCUUCGGGUUGUAAACCUCUUUCAAUAGGGACGAAGCGCAAGUGACGGUACCUAUAGAAGAAGCACCGGCCAACUACGUGCCAGCAGCCGCGGUAAUACGUAGGGUGCGAGCGUUGUCCGGAAUUACUGGGCGUAAAGAGCUCGUAGGUGGUUUGUCGCGUUGUUCGUGAAAACCGGGGGCUUAACCCUCGGCGUGCGGGCGAUACGGGCAGACUGGAGUACUGCAGGGGAGACUGGAAUUCCUGGUGUAGCGGUGGAAUGCGCAGAUAUCAGGAGGAACACCGGUGGCGAAGGCGGGUCUCUGGGCAGUAACUGACGCUGAGACGCGAAAGCGUGGGGAGCAAACAGGAUUAGAUACCCUGGUAGUCCACGCUGUAAACGAUGGGCACUAGGUGUCCGGGGUAUUGACCCCCUGGGUGCCGCAGCUAACGCAUUAAGUGCCCCGCCUGGGGACUACGGCCGCAAGGUUA